UACGUAGGGUGCGAGCGUUAAUCGGAAUUACUGGGCGUAAAGCGUGCGCAGGCGGUUAUAUAAGACAGAUGUGAAAUCCCGGCGUUAACCUGGGAACUGCGUUUGUGACUGUAUAACUUGAGUGUGGCAGAGGGGGGUGGAAUUCCACGUGUAGCAGUGAAAUGCGUAGAGAUGUGGAGGAACACCGAUGGCGAAGGCAGCCCCCCUGGGUCAACACUGACGCUCAUGCACGAAAGCGUGGGGAGCAAAC
RNAcentral lists this ribosomal RNA (250 nucleotides) under uncultured archaeon. RNAcentral describes it as "partial 16S ribosomal RNA". It matches the Rfam family "Bacterial small subunit ribosomal RNA", at positions 524 to 773 of the family's 1533-position model. The record is from RNAcentral.